GGGCGUAAGCGCGCGCAGGCGGUUUCUUAAGUCUGAUGUGAAAGCCCACCCCUCAACCGGGGAGGGGCAUUGGAAACUGGCGAACUUGAGUGCGGAAGAGAGUGGCGGAAUUCCCUGUGUAGCGGUGAAAUGCGUAGAUAUGUGAAGGAACACCAGUGGCGAAGGCGACCUUUUGGACUGAUACUGACACUGAGGCGCGAAAGCGUGGGGAGCAAACAGGAUUAGAUACCCUGGUAGUCCGCGCCGUAAACGAUGUCUGCUAGGCGUUGGAAGCCUUGAGCUCUUAGUGGCUGCAACUAACGCAUUUAGUUGACCGCCUGGG
This 322-nucleotide ribosomal RNA is filed under the name Pseudomonas fluorescens. Its description in RNAcentral is "bacterial SSU rRNA". It matches the Rfam family "Bacterial small subunit ribosomal RNA", at positions 556 to 877 of the family's 1533-position model. The record is from RNAcentral. Lineage: Bacteria; Pseudomonadati; Pseudomonadota; Gammaproteobacteria; Pseudomonadales; Pseudomonadaceae.